ACACAUGCAAGUCGAGCGGAAACGACACUAACAAUCCUUCGGUGCGUUAAUGGGCGUCGACGGCGGACGGGUGAGUAAUGCCUAGGAAAUUGCCCUGAUGUGGGGGAUAACCAUUGGAAACGAUGGCUAAUACCGCAUGAUGCCUACGGGCCAAAGAGGGGGACCUUCGGGCCUCUCGCGUCAGGAUAUGCCUAGGUGGGAUUAGCUAGUUGGUGAGGUAAGGGCUCACCAAGGCGACGAUCCCUAGCUGGUCUGAGAGGAUGAUCAGCCACACUGGAACUGAGACACGGUCCAGACUCCUACGGGAGGCAGCAGUGGGGAAUAUUGCACAAUGGGCGCAACUGAUUGCAGCCAUGCCGCGUGUGUGAAGAAGGCCUUCGGGUUGUAAAGCACUUUCAGUCGUGAGGAAGGUGGUAGUGUUAAUAGCACUAUCAUUUGACGUUAGCGACAGAAGAAGCACCGGCUAACUCCGUGCCAGCAGCCGCGGUAAUACGGAGGGUGCGAGCGUUAAUCGGAAUUACUGGGCGUAAAGCGCAUGCAGGUGGUUUGUUAAGUCAGAUGUGAAAGCCCGGGGCUCAACCUCGGAAUUGCAUUUGAAACUGGCAGACUAGAGUACUGUAGAGGGGGGUAGAAUUUCAGGUGUAGCGGUGAAAUGCGUAGAGAUCUGAAGGAAUACCGGUGGCGAAGCGGGCCCCCUGGACAGAUACUGACACUCAGAUGCGAAAGCGUGGGGAGCAAACAGGAUUAGAUACCCUGGUAGUCCACGCCGUAAACGAUGUCUACUUGGAGGUUGUGGCCUUGAGCCGUGGCUUUCGGGACUAACGCGUUAAGUAGACCGCCUGGGGAGUACGGUCGCAAGAUUAAAACUCAAAUGAAUUGACGGGGGCCCGCACAAGCGGUGGAGCAUGUGGUUUAAUUCGAUGCAACGCGAAGAACCUUACCUACUCUUGACAUCCAGAGAACUUUCCAGAGAUGGAUUGGUGCCUUCGGGAACUCUGAGACAGGUGCUGCAUGGCUGUCGUCAGCUCGUGUU
RNAcentral lists this ribosomal RNA (1033 nucleotides) under Aliivibrio fischeri. RNAcentral's name for it is "bacterial SSU rRNA". It matches the Rfam family "Bacterial small subunit ribosomal RNA", at positions 51 to 1066 of the family's 1533-position model. Lineage: Bacteria; Pseudomonadati; Pseudomonadota; Gammaproteobacteria; Vibrionales; Vibrionaceae. The record is from RNAcentral.